AGAGUUUGAUCAUGGCUCAGAACGAACGCUGGCGGCGUGCUUAACACAUGCAAGUCGAACGAGAAAGUCCUGCUUCGGCGGGGCUAGUAAAGUGGCGCACGGGUGAGUAACGCGUGGGUAACCUGCCCUUAAGACUGGGAUAACUUCGCGAAAGCGUUGCUAAUACCGGAUAUCGUCCACGGAACUCCGGUUUUGUGGAUGAAAGGUGACCUCUUCAUGAAAGUUGCCGCUUAGGGAUGGGCUCGCGUACCAUUAGCUUGUUGGUGGGGUAAAGGCCUACCAAGGCGACGAUGGUUAGCUGGUCUGAGAGGAUGAUCAGCCACACUGGCACUGAAACACGGGCCAGACUCCUACGGGAGGCAGCAGUGAGGAAUUUUGCGCAAUGGGGGUAACCCUGACGCAGCAACGCCGCGUGAGUGAAGAAGGCCUUCGGGUCGUAAAGCUCUGUCAAGUGGGAAAAAAGUCCAGGCAUCAAUAGUGCCCGGAUGUGAUGGUACCACUGAAGGAAGCACCGGCUAACUCCGUGCCAGCAGCCGCGGUAAUACGGAGGGUGCAAGCGUUGUUCGGAAUUACUGGGCGUAAAGGGCGUGCAGGCGGGAUGGUAAGUCGGAUGUGAAAGCCCAGGGCUUAACCCUGGAAGUGCAUUCGAUACUGCCACCCUAGAGUAUGGGAGAGGAGAGUGGAAUUCCGAGUGUAGAGGUGAAACUCGUAGAUAUUCGGAGGAACACCCGUGGCGAAGGCGACUCUCUGGACCAAUACUGACGCUGAGACGCGAAAGCGUGGGGAGCAAACAGGAUUAGAUACCCUGGUAGUCCACGCUGUAAACGAUGAGAACUAGGUGUAGCGGGUAUUGACCCCUGCUGUGCCGCAGUUAACGCAUUAAGUUCUCCGCCUGGGGAGUACGGCCGCAAGGUUAAAACUCAAAGGAACUGACGGGGGCCCGCACAAGCGGUGGAGCAUGUGGUUUAAUUCGACGCAACGGGAAAAACCUUACUUGGGCUUGACAUCUUUCGACGGCUUUGGAAACAGGGUUUUCCCGAUUUUGUCGGGACGGAGUGACAGGUGCUGCUGGUUGUCGUCAGCUCGUGUCGUGAGAUGUUGGGUUAAGUCCCGCAACGAGCGCAACCCUUGUUUUUAGUUGCCAUAUUAAGUUAGGCACUCUAAAAAGACUGCUUCGGUUAACGGGGAGGAAGGUGGGGAU
This 1201-nucleotide ribosomal RNA is filed under the name uncultured sulfate-reducing bacterium. RNAcentral describes it as "bacterial SSU rRNA". It matches the Rfam family "Bacterial small subunit ribosomal RNA", at positions 8 to 1180 of the family's 1533-position model. The record is from RNAcentral.